UACGGGAGGCAGCAGUGAGGAAUAUUGGUCAAUGGGCGAGAGCCUGAACCAGCCAAGUAGCGUGCAGGAUGACGGCCCUAUGGGUUGUAAACUGCUUUUAUAUGGGGAUAAAGUUAGUUACGUGUAAAUAUUUGCAGGUCCCAUAAGAAUAAGCCCCGGAUAAUUCCGCCCCCGCAGCCGGGGUAAUACGGAAGGUCCAGGUUUUUUCGGGAUUUAGGGGGUAAAAAGGGAGUGUAGGCUUUUUUAUUAAGCGUGUUGAAAUACGUAGAUGCUUAACAUGUGAAUUGCAGCGCGAACUGGAAGACUUGAGUGCGAGAGGGGUAGGCGGAAUUCGUCGUGUAGCGGUAAAAUGCUUAGAUAUGAAGAAGAACUCCGAUUGAAAAGGCAGCUUACCGCAGCGCCACUGACGGUGAUGCUAAAAGGUGGGGGUAACACACGGGAUUAGACCCCCUGGUUGUCCGCACAAUAAACGAUGGAUGCGCGCUGUUCGGCCUUACGCCCGGUGGCCCAG
RNAcentral lists this ribosomal RNA (511 nucleotides) under uncultured Bacteroidota bacterium. RNAcentral describes it as "bacterial SSU rRNA". It matches the Rfam family "Bacterial small subunit ribosomal RNA", at positions 340 to 851 of the family's 1533-position model. Lineage: Bacteria; Pseudomonadati; Bacteroidota. The record is from RNAcentral.